This 1168-nucleotide ribosomal RNA is filed under the name uncultured Fibrobacteres/Acidobacteria group bacterium. Its description in RNAcentral is "bacterial SSU rRNA". It matches the Rfam family "Bacterial small subunit ribosomal RNA", at positions 8 to 1105 of the family's 1533-position model. Lineage: Bacteria; Pseudomonadati. The record is from RNAcentral.
AGAGUUUGAUCCUGGCUCAGAAUCAACGCUGGCGGCGCGCCUAACACAUGCAAGUCGAACGAGAAAGGGGAGCAAUCCCUAAGUACAGUGGCGUACGGGUGAGUAACACGUGGGUAAUCUACCUUCUGGUGGGGAAUAACCCUGGGAAACCGGGGCUAAUACCGCAUGAGUCCGAGAGGAGAAAGCAGCAAUGCGCCGGAAGAGGAGCCCGCGGCCGAUUAGCUAGUUGGUAGGGUAACAGCCUACCAAGGUCAAUAGAUAUCUCGUAGUAGCCAGGCCUGGAGAGGGCAACAUCGACCCUACCACUGGCACUGAAAUACACGGGCGCAGGUACUCCUAGACAGUGGAGGCUAUGCAGAGAGGGAAUCUCUGCACAUAUGGAGGGAAACUCCUGGAUGCAAGCGACGCCGGCGUGAAGCGAUGAAGCCCCUUCGGGGUGUAAAUGCUCUUUUCAGACAGGGAAGUAUGAAUGACGGAUACCUGGCAGAAGCAGCUGCGUGCUCAACCUAACGUGACCGAGCAAGCCGCGGGGUAAUAACGUUAGUGCAGCACAAGGCCGUUUGUUCCGGAGAGUCUCAUCUGAGUCCAGCGUCUUACGACAGGUGCUAUGUCGGUACUGAGCGGGUUAUGCGAGCAAAGUUCUGCGGGCUGAGUGUAAUAUAUCCCGGCUCCAACUGGGAGGGUGCGCCGGAAACUGCCGGACUCGAGUGCGGGAGAGGAGAGUGGAAUUCCUGGUGUAGCGGUGAAAUGCGUAGAUAUCAGGAGGAACACCGGUGGUGUAGACGGCUCUCUGGACCGUAACUGACGCUGAAACACGAAAGCGUGGGUAGCAAACAGGAUUAGAUACCCUGGUAGUCCACGCCCUAAACGAUGCACAUUUGGUGUGGGUCAUUCAGUUGAUCCGUGCCGGAGCUAACGCGUUAAAUGUGCCGCCUGGGGAGUACAGUCGCAAGGCUGAAACUCAAAGGAAUUGACGGGGGCCCGCACAAGCGGUGGAGCAUGUGGUUCAAUUCGACGCAACGCGAAGAACCUUACCUGGGCUCGAACGGCUGGUUACCGGCGGUGGAAACAUCGCUACCCCGCAAGGGGGUCCAGUCGAGGUGCUGCAUGGCUGUCGUCAGCUCGUGUCGUGAGAUGUUGGGUUAAGUCCCGCAACGAGCGCAACCCA